AUGGAUCCCGGCAGCGAACAUUUGGAUAGGGUGCUCCUUGCUAUGAAUUCCACCACCAUUACCACCCUAAACCACAGCUUCGACAGCGGAGGCAAGCCGCGUAUCCAGAAGGUCCCGGCCUUCCUCCGUAGCAUCCAGAACGCCGACCGGCUCUACUCUCCGGACAUCAUCGCCAUCGGCCCGUGCCACCGCGGCAAGGAGCAACUGCAAGGCAUGGAGGACAUCAAGAAGAUGGCUGCGAUGGAAUUCUGCUGCACCACUCAGCACCAGAUCCGGGCUUUCUACCGUAAUGUCCGGGAGGUGGUCGUCCAAGCCCGGGAGUCCUACGCCGAAGAUCUCAGCGCCUACAACGACGACCAGUUCACGGAGAUGAUGUUCUACGACGGCUGCUUCCUCCUCCAGUUCAUGACGAUGGUGGCGCUGGACCGCGGCCCGCCGCUCCAGUGGAAGAUGCCCAAGCUCAGCGAGAACUGGGUGCGGCGCAUCUCGCGCGACAUCCUGCUCGUGGAGAACCAGGUCCCGUGGGUGGUGCUGGAGGCCCUGAUGCGGCUCAAGCACGUCCUCGUCGACCGCUACAUCGCGGACGCCAUCCGCAACUUCGACGUGCAGUGGGCGAAGCCGCAGAUGGACUUCGAGGGCGCCGACAAGUACAAGCCGUUCCACCUCCUCGACCUGGUCCGCCACCGCCAGCUCGGCCCCUUGACCAAAGCCAAGCUGGACGAGGCCCCGAGGCCGAUGCUCAACAUCUGCUCCGCCCUGGAGCUCGCCGAGGUCGGCAUCAAGCUCAGCGCCAGCAAGACGGCGCGGUUCGGCGACAUCGGCGUGGGCAAGAGCCCCAUCUUCGGGAAGCUCCGGCUCCCGCCGGUGUACCUCGGCGAGCUCACCAUGUGCUGGCUGACCAACAUGGCGGCGUUCGAGAUGCUGCAGGGCGGGACGUCGGACUACGGCGUCAGCUCGUACGUGCAGAUCAUGUCGGUGCUCAUGAACCGCGAGGACGACGUGCGGGAGCUCCGCACCAAGCGCAUUCUGUACCCGGUGCUCAGCGACCUGGAGACGCUCAACUUCUUCAAGUCCAUCUCCCCGUUUCUGCCGUAUGGGAGCCAGUAUUUCCGCAUCCUGCAGCAGCUCAGCGAUUACCACCAGGACCGGAAGGCGAGGGUCACUCUGCACAAGCUCUUGUACAACAACCUCAAGUACAUCCUUACGGCCGGUUCCGCCCUCGGCUUUCUCAUUCCUAUCCUUAGAGGCAUCCUCACCCUCCAACAGAACAAGCCCAGCGCGGCCUAA
RNAcentral lists this ribosomal RNA (1287 nucleotides) under Triticum aestivum (bread wheat). RNAcentral's name for it is "partial small subunit ribosomal RNA". The record is from RNAcentral. Lineage: Eukaryota; Viridiplantae; Streptophyta; Magnoliopsida; Poales; Poaceae.